Molecule: ribosomal RNA, 570 nt
Filed under: uncultured Glomeromycotina
Lineage: Eukaryota; Fungi; Glomeromycota
Description: SSU rRNA
Rfam family: Eukaryotic small subunit ribosomal RNA
Source: RNAcentral
UUGGAGGGCAAGUCUGGUGCCAGCAGCCGCGGUAAUUCCAGCUCCAAUAGCGUAUAUUAAAGUUGUUGCAGUUAAAAAGCUCAUAGUUGAAUUUCGGGAUUGACACAUCGGUCGUGCCUUAAGGGGUAUGAACUGGUGUAGUCAGUUUCUCACCUUCUGGAGAACCGCGAUGUCCUUAAUUGGGUGCCGCGAGGAACCAGGACCUUUACUUUGAAAAAAUUAGAGUGUUUAAAGCAGGCAUUUUGCUUGAAUACAUUAGCAUGGAAUAAUAAAAUAGGACGGAUGGUUCUAUUUUGUUGGUUUCUAGGAUCACCGUAAUGAUUAAUAGGGAUAGUUGGGGGCAUUAGUAUUCAAUUGUCAGAGGUGAAAUUCUUGGAUUUAUUGAAGACUAACUACUGCGAAAGCAUUUGCCAAGGAUGUUUUCAUUAAUCAAGAACGAAAGUUAGGGGAUCGAAGACGAUCAGAUACCGUCGUAGUCUUAACCAUAAACUAUGCCGACUAGGAAUCAGACGAUGUUAAUUUUUUAAUGACUCGUUUGGCACCUUACGGGAAACCAAAGUGUUUGGGUUC